UGUACCUAACCUAAAAGCCACGGGUCAGUACGUUCCAGCAGCCGACGUAAUCAAUUGGUGGCAAGCAUUUUUCGGAAGUAUUUGGCGUAAAGCGCGGGCAGGUGGGUUCUUUAGUAUGUUGUGAAAGCCCAUGGUUCAACCGUGGAGGGUCAUUGAUAACUGGGUUGCUUGAGACAGAAGAGGAAAGGGGAAUUCCAUCUGUAGCGGUGAAAUGUGUAGAGAUGUUGAGGAACACCAGUGGCGAAGGCGACGUUUCUGUCUGUAACUGACACUGAGGCGCGAAAGCGUCGGGAUCAAACAAGAUUAGAUACCCUGGUAGUCCACGCCCUAAACGCCUUUAUAAAUAAGUGUUAGAGGGUUUCCGCCCCGUUAGUGGUUGAAGUUAAUUGGCCACUUUAUAUGGCCA
This 406-nucleotide ribosomal RNA is filed under the name Bacillus sp. (in: firmicutes). RNAcentral's name for it is "bacterial SSU rRNA". It matches the Rfam family "Bacterial small subunit ribosomal RNA", at positions 474 to 873 of the family's 1533-position model. The record is from RNAcentral. Lineage: Bacteria; Bacillati; Bacillota; Bacilli; Caryophanales; Bacillaceae.